AAGCCACCUGGUGACUCCACUUACCUGAAUGUGUUUCUGCAGAAGUUUAGAAAAAACUGCCAGUACUAAUGCCAUGUUGUGAGUCUUAGGACACUGAAGUCACUAUGGUUCCCAGAAAUGGCUGCAGGA
Molecule: small nucleolar RNA, 129 nt
Organism: Sciurus carolinensis (gray squirrel)
Lineage: Eukaryota; Metazoa; Chordata; Mammalia; Rodentia; Sciuridae
Product: small nucleolar RNA SNORA33
Exons: 1
Source: RefSeq, a predicted model, not a curated record